UGGACACACAGAAAAUUUUCCAAAAUACUAUUGAUUUAAUGGAUAUUGCAUAAGAAGAUGCAUUCUACAACAAAGAAGCAAGUGAGGGUGCCGAUCUGUCGAGUCCCAGGAUACCCCAAGUUUUAGAGGAGGACUAUGUCAUUCACUUCUGGAAAUAGGGCAGUUCUUCAAUCUAUUGAGGAAGGAAAUAGGCGAAGAAAGUUAAACUUCUUUUCUCAAGGGGCCUAACUGUUGGCCCAGGCUGGGUUCCAAGAGCAGAACAAGGGAUGGUAACUGGUGAGGCUGUCCUUUUGCUGAAUGAAGAGAAGAAAAGAAGCAUUCCAAGUCUGUUUCCCCGGCACAGGAAGGACCAGGAAGCAAGGAAAUCUCCAAUUUUCAAGUCCACUGAGCAGAAUACAAGAACAGGGUCCAAAAUAAAGAGUUCUCCAUUAAGACCCAGCAAGAUGGAGCAAUGAAGUCCUGCAGGCAGGCUGAGCCUGGAAAGGAGCCCAGAG
RNAcentral lists this long non-coding RNA (494 nucleotides) under Equus caballus (horse). RNAcentral's name for it is "lncRNA (ENSECAG00000056187.1)". Lineage: Eukaryota; Metazoa; Chordata; Mammalia; Perissodactyla; Equidae. The record is from RNAcentral.